GCGACGGGUGAGUACACGUGGGCAAUCUGCCCUGCACUCUGGGACAAGCCCUGGAAACGGGGUCUAAUACCGGAUAAUACUCCUGCACUCAUGUGUGGGGGUUAAAAGCUCCGGCGGUGCAGGAUGAGCCCGCGGCCUAUCAGCUUGUUGGUGAGGUAAUGGCUCACCAAGGCGACGACGGGUAGCCGGCCUGAGAGGGCGACCGGCCACACUGGGACUGAGACACGGCCCAGACUCCUACGGGAGGCAGCAGUGGGGAAUAUUGCACAAUGGGCGGAAGCCUGAUGCAGCGACGCCGCGUGAGGGAUGACGGCCUUCGGGUUGUAAACCUCUUUCAGCAGGGAAGAAGCGCAAGUGACGGUACCUGCAGAAGAAGCGCCGGCUAACUACGUGCCAGCAGCCGGGGGAUAAUACG
Molecule: ribosomal RNA, 415 nt
Filed under: Streptomyces sp. MBT65
Lineage: Bacteria; Bacillati; Actinomycetota; Actinomycetes; Kitasatosporales; Streptomycetaceae
Description: bacterial SSU rRNA
Rfam family: Bacterial small subunit ribosomal RNA
Source: RNAcentral